Molecule: ribosomal RNA, 462 nt
Filed under: uncultured bacterium
Lineage: Bacteria
Description: bacterial SSU rRNA
Rfam family: Bacterial small subunit ribosomal RNA
Source: RNAcentral
GACGCUGGCGGCGUGCUUAACACAUGCAAGUCGAACGGUGAACCAGAGCUCGCUCUGGGGAUCAGUGGCGAACGGGUGAGUAACACGUGGGCAACCUGCCCCAGACUCUGGGAUAACCCCGGGAAACCGGAGCUAAUAUCGGAUAUGACCACUUCGGACAUCCGAUGGUGGUGGAAAGUUUUUCGGUCUGGGAUGGGCCCGCGGCCUAUCAGCUAGUUGGUGGGGUAAUGGCCUACCAAGGCGACGACGGGUAGCCGGCCUGAGAGGGCGACCGGCCACACUGGAACUGAGACACGGUCCAGACUCCUACGGGAGGCAGCAGUGGGGAAUAUUGCACAAUGGGCGAAAGCCUGAUGCAGCGACGCCGCGUGAGGGACGACGGCCUUCGGGUUGUAAACCUCUUUCAGCAGGGACGAAGCGAAAGUGACUGUACCUGCAAAAGAAGCACCGGCUAACUACGUG